UUGGUGCUUGUAGCUCAGUGGAUAGAGCGUUUGUUUCCUAAGUAGAAAGUCGUAGGUUUGACCCCUAUUUGGCGCGAUUUUAUUCGUUGGUGGUUGGCGCUUGUAGCUCAGUGGAUAGAGCGUCUGUUUCCUAAGCAGAAAGUCGUAGGUUUGACCCCUAUUUGGCGCGAUUUUAUUCGUUGGUGGUUGGCGCUUGUAGCUCAGUGGAUAGAGCGUCUGUUUCCUAAGCAGAAAGUCGUAGGUUCGACCCCUACCUGGCGCGCUUUUAUUUUUGGAUGCCUUUGUAUGUAUGUGCAUCUCUCGACCAUUGACAACCUUUGUAUGUUAGUGGUCGUAGGUUUGACCCCUAUUUGGCGCUAUUUUAUUCAUUUGUGCUUGGCGCUUGUAGCUCAGUGGAUUGAGCGUCUGUUUCCUAAGUAGAUAGUCAUAGGUUCGACCCCUACCUUAGUCCAUUUUUAUUUUUUUAGUUUGACCCCUAUUUGACGCGAUUUA
Cucurbita pepo subsp. pepo (vegetable marrow) is the source of this 492-nucleotide non-coding RNA. Lineage: Eukaryota; Viridiplantae; Streptophyta; Magnoliopsida; Cucurbitales; Cucurbitaceae. The record is from RefSeq and is a predicted model, not a curated record.